GUGGCCACACCCACUUCUCCCACUGCCCCCUCCCGACUGUCACCCGCACACAGCAGGAACAAAGGGCAAUCCUUGGGCUCAAUGUACAGUCACUUGGGGGAAAUACUUAGUGAUUCUGAGACUAUCAAGGGGAGCAUCAGAGUCUGACCCAGGUGAGGAGCUUAAGAACAGAAAUAGACUUUCCUGCAAGAAAAAAGGAGAUUAACUUUGUUUUAGGGUCCAAUGGAAAGGGGCACAUCUUCUUUCCUGUAGACUAAUCCAGAAGGUGGAAGCUAGGGGCCAUCUGUGGAGCCCAAGUCCCCAAACAACAUAAUAGGCGAGAAAUGGUGAGAAUCCAGUCUUUAAGACAGUGUUUGAGCUGCUGGAUCCAGCCACUCCUGAUGCUAGAUUUCAACUAUGUGAACCAAUCAAGUCCAACCAAUCUCCAGAAAGAGAGCAAACCAAUCAAAAGCCUUUCUAUUGCAGAUGACAGAAAGCCCAAGUCAGACUGCAAUGGUGUGGAGAAUGCCCCCCAAGACAUUUAUGUCCUAAUUUCUGGAACUCGUGAAUAAGUUACAUGGCAAAUGGGACUUUGCAAAUGUGAUUGAGGUUAUGGACCUUAAAGAGUGUUCUGGGUCAUGCUGGUGGGUGCCGGCAUCUCCAGCUGGAGGCAGCAAGAGGGAGGCUGAGAAUGGAGAGGUCUUUUCUGAAGGGCCAUGUGGGAAGCAUAAGAAGGAAAGUGGGCGGCCUGUAGGGACCAUGACCUGCCGAGGCAAUGGUUCUGUAAAUGGAUCCUUCCCCGGAGCUUGAGAGACACCCAAACUGCAGACCUGGUUGGAGCACGUCAUGAUGGAGUUCUACCUAACACUGUGACAUAACAGAGUCUUGGUCAUGAUUUAGUCAGGACCAGUCCACCAGUCUAAUGGAAAAAGAUGACUGGCCCUCUCAUAGGUGCACUUCAGGAACAGUUGGAUCCAGCAGCCUCAACACUUCUCAGGACUUGAUUUCUCUGCCUCCUCUAUGGCUGCCUCCUAUGCUGCUCCUUGCUCACCCUCCAGGAGGUGGUCCCAGCUGCUUCGGGCUGCAGGCUCCAGGUGAAUGUCUGUGGAAAGAGCCUGUCCCGUUGUCUCUACAGGGCGGUGUGUCCAUUCCUAAGCCAGUCUCUGAGGCUGGUAGCAUGCAGUGUCCUUGUUCACCAGCUCAGGGUCACACACCUACUCCAGUGUAGAGCUGGACCCACGAGACUCGGGCUGGGAGCAAGGAGGAUGGCUCCCAGGAGAAACCCGGGCACAGCGGUGGGAGCUCAGGCAGCGGCCUCGGGGACCACUGGUGGAGAGAGGCAGGUCAAGGCCCACCCUUAGUUUCUGGGGGCCGACGAUUCACUCUGUAGGCCGCCUUGGGCAGAGGGACACCCAUACCCUUGUCCCCAGCAUCCCACAGAUGAGUCAAAACUUCCAGAACCCUCCCAGCCUAGCGGAGCCCCACACAGCCUCCUGCAGAGGGCCAUGUCCCCAAACUGCACUGCCGCGCACAGGAGCCGCGGGCUCCUUGGAGGCUGCUUCACUGGGAGGCAGAGCAAAUAACUGUUAUUUAUACCACGGCCCAGGGGGCCACACAGCUCUGCGGCAAAUAUGGUCAAAAUUGGAGCCUGCGGCCUGAAGGGGAGCGAAGCUGUCCCCCAGGACCCUGGAGGCAGCAGUGUGUCCACCCACAGCAUUGUCGGGCCCUCCAGGAGACUCCAGGGCACCUUCUCACCCACUCUGCCAGCCUCUGCCCCUCCUGCCAGUCGAGGACCCCUUCCCCAGCAGGGCCCACGGGCCUUUCCUAGGCCGAGUCCAGGCCAGCCUGAGCCCGAGCUGGGUUCCCCAGCGCCCAGGCCAUUCCCCUGAAGAGCCAGCCACGCGGGUCAGUGGGUGGCAGAUGCUGCACUCGGAACCCACAGGUCACAUGCCCUCUGGGUGCCAGACCCCGGGCGGGGGGAACAGCUCGGCUUCCAGGCAGGGUGAGGGGCCGUGGCACCCUCCCUGCGGCAGCUGCCGCAGCCUGCCGAGGUCUCCAGGCCAGUCCUGGAGGGAGGCGGAGGUUGGCAGCAGUGCAGCCUGGCUGACCACCUGGUGCUGUCCCAGGCCACCCACCCUCCUGGGCCCAGGUGCCCGGGCCCCCCGACGCUGCGCUUGGCCACAGGUCAGGAGGGAACGUGGAUCUCCCAGUUACCCGAGAGGCACAUUCCUGCUCCGGGUGCUCAGGCGGGAAAGCUCUGGGCCACCAAGUCCCCUCUCCCUGUCCCAGCUUGUGUCCCACCCACCUUCCAAACAAACUCCUGUCCCUGGCUCCUGGCCUGUCACCCACGUGUGCAGCGGCCACAGGCCCUGUGAGCAGUGAGUCGGCUCGCAGAAUCCGGCCUCCUGCCCCGCAGUGGCCCCCGCCGCCUCCCUGCGCCCAGCCCCAGGCGGUGCCCCAUGCCCGCUGGCCCUUCC
Molecule: long non-coding RNA, 2456 nt
Filed under: Marmota monax (woodchuck)
Lineage: Eukaryota; Metazoa; Chordata; Mammalia; Rodentia; Sciuridae
Source: RNAcentral